This 1105-nucleotide long non-coding RNA is filed under the name Mustela putorius furo (domestic ferret). RNAcentral's name for it is "lncRNA (ENSMPUG00000025184.1)". Lineage: Eukaryota; Metazoa; Chordata; Mammalia; Carnivora; Mustelidae. The record is from RNAcentral.
AGCAAAAUUCCAUGCAGGGGAAAAAAAAAAAAAAGCACAGACUUUUCUCAGGAAAACAUUUUCUUCAGGUUUCUUCUUUACUUGUGUCUUCAGUAAUUUCUCACGUUCUUCCCGACCAUAGGAGUAGAGUAGUGUCUCAAGGUUCUACUGCUAUAGAGGAGCUUGGAUACUUGAAGAGGAAGUGAUGGUAUAUUACUGACUCAUUCUGCUCAGUGGCACAUUAUCUUGAACCAGACCACAUGCUCUACUAUUUUUAUCCUUGCCUCAUUCUUUCAGCUUAAUUUGCAAUCCAGGAUUUGUAGGAUGCAAGAAAAAAAAAAAUGAUUUGACUUCCGGACAGUGUUGGGAAGACGGAAAAUAGCAAGCCACUUUCUAAAAAGACAGAAGUUGUAAUUGAAAGGGACAUAUAAGACAGAAAAUAAUGGAGGAAAUAGCACCCCCGUGGAGGAAACAGUAAAUGGAUAAUAAUAGUGUGAGCUGAUGAUCCAGGCAGAGGUACAAACGGUUUGUACUUUCUAUAGGAAGACCACGCAGCACUAAAUCUGGAGGAAUUUCUUCUAGAGAAGCUGGAUCUAGGACACUAGAAACAGGAGUUAACAAAUACAUGAUGGGAUGUGGGAACCCAGAAAUAUUCAAGAUGUUUUAAGAGAAGCAUCUGGAAAGUGCUGAUGACGUUGUGGAUGACGUAUAAGAAAAUGACUACAUUAUCCUGGGCUUGUUCUUUAAAUUUAGUAGAUGUCAACUAUUCGAAAUUUGGAAAAGAGCAAUCUGGAAAUAGAUGAUAUAAUGAUCAUAUUACUUAAUUAAAAUAAUGAUACUUGUAUCUAGGAGGCAAAAGGCUAAUACCAGAUCCUUCCUUGAUGAUGCUAAUAUUUGGUUUGGAUUGGCAUGGAGAGGAUAGGGUUAUAGUCAGUGUGAAUCUGUGGAAUAGCUAACCAAACUCUUCAUUUGCUUAAAAAAGUGUAACGGAUAUAUAGUAGCACAUGCAUGCAUAAUAUUUUACCAAAGAUAUAUUUAUUCACUUGUAAUUCUUAGAUAAGAUCCCAGGUUUUUCACAGAUAGAAUAUGUGUUGUAUAUGUUCUUUUUCUACAAAACAAUUAGUCC